This 171-nucleotide ribosomal RNA is filed under the name uncultured bacterium. Its description in RNAcentral is "partial 16S ribosomal RNA". The record is from RNAcentral.
CACGCCCUAAACGAUGAUUACUCGACGUGUGCGAUACACUGUACGCGUCUGAGCGAAAGCAUUAAGUAAUCCACCUGGGAAGUACNUACGCGAGGAACCUUACCUGGGCUAGAAUGCAGUCUGACUGCCGGUGAAAGCUGGCUUUGUAGCAAUACACAGAUUGUAAGGUGC